Molecule: long non-coding RNA, 511 nt
Filed under: Pan troglodytes (chimpanzee)
Lineage: Eukaryota; Metazoa; Chordata; Mammalia; Primates; Hominidae
Description: lincRNA
Source: RNAcentral
CACCUCUGUAACUGUUGCUUGCUGCUUUCUCUUUAGGCAACACCCAAAGCCACUGUCAGAUGUCAUGGAGAUGAGACCUCACAAGCCUACUCAACGUGAAGAUGAUGAGAAUGAAGACCUUUAUGAUGAUCUGCUUCCACUUAAAGAAUAGCCCAUCAUGAUCUGAAGGCAGCGGUGGUUGCUGGUGGAGGAUGUGAGCUUUGGAACUGGAUCUCUUUGAUUCAAAGCUCUGCCGCUUACUCACUGGAUAAGACCAUGAUCAAGUUAUUUCAUCUGAAAAAUUGAGUUGACCGCAGGUAACUGAAACUGCGGAAAGUGAAACCGCAGAUAAGAGGGACCACUGUAAAUAAGUGACAUGAAUGAUACUGCAAAGGACCAUAGCCUAACCGGCCAAGCAAACUGGAAGUACCUUUAGACUCACGCUUUGCCAAGCUCAGUUCCAGAAUCACAUGAUGAAAAGAAUGAUGGAAAGAAAAUGUUUGUGAUAUUAAAAUUAAGGAAAUUACUCCAA